AAUUUUCCAUGUUGGACAUUUUACCCACUUCAGUCAUUUUAUAUGGUUUUAUGUGAUUGUUCUUGUCCCAUAUGGGUGAUUUUGUGCCUCCCUGUGUCUCCACACUUGUGGAAACAAAUCUCACAAACAAAUCAAGCACUUGUCCUGUAACUUUGUCCUGUGAGAGACCAUCAGCGACCCUUUAGAGGGCUGCAGUCAGUGAGGAGAGAAGAGGAAAGCUGCUGAUGCUGCUGAAGCUCCAACUAAAAAGAGGAGUCUUCAACUGGUGGAGGACAGAGUAGAGCUGUCAGAAGAGGAACAAAGAGCCCAAUUCGACAGCAAAUACGAGCAGCAGCAUCAGCUCAGAGAAGGAGGUUGUGGGUCCGUGUUCGCCGGCCGCCGCAAAUCAGACAGUUUGCUGGACUUUGUCACUUGGAUUUUGAAAACUGCCCCAUUCAUAAAUGAAGAGAAUUAUUCUUGUAUUGUUCUGGGAGUUGGUGAUGCUGGGAUACUGAAGGAGACUGAUGUGGACGUCAGGAGGCUGAGCUCUGAUUCCAUUAAAAGGAUCAACUACAGAAGAACCCCGCAGAGUUUAGUUCCAAACAAAUGAUCUCCAGUCCAAGUUGAAGACAUAAAGUGUGAUCUGGAGGGAAGUUGUCAGUGUGAAUGUGUCGGUUCUCUAGUUAACUCACCUGGUUACGUCUCCAUCCUGAUGCUGCUCUGCUGGACAGGAGCUUCUGGACCAGCCGGGUGGACCUUCCUUCACUGAUCUUCCCAGUGGGAGUGAUUCUCAGUUUGCCUUGGUUGACUGCAAACUCCCUAAAAUGGACACUUGAGAGGAGAUUGUGGACAAAUCUAUACAACAGCUUGUUUAGUUUGUCCUGUUCUUAAAUCAGUAGAAAACUGUUGAGAGUGUUGCUCUAACUCCAUGUGUAUAAAAGCUCCUCCUACUGACCAAUCAGUUCUCUUGAAAACUGUCAUCAGCAUUAGAAGAUCCAGUGGAGCUCAGAGCACCGAUAGAGGGAGAGGAAGAUCGGAGUUUUUAGAGCUGCAAGCAAAGUCAUUUCAUUGUUCUACCUCCUUUGUAUUACAAUACGAUUUAUGAUUCUAGAUUGUUCCUGUGAGAAAUAUUUGAAGUUGUAUCCACUGACCUGUAGUGUUCCAUACCACAUGAGAGUCAGCUUACUUAUCGCUUUGAAUCAUAGUUUGAUGUCUUGCAGCCAGAAGAAUACAGCUGAGAACAUGUUCAUUAAACACAACAUCCAGUUGGAAUUAGAGUCUGAUCUACUUGUGAGCUGAUAAUUUGGUAGUAAUAUUGUUAAUCCUGUUAACUUUCACACAGUCUGCAGUUUUUGCAGCUUUCCCUCCUUCAGCUGCUGCAGCUGUGUUACUGUCAGUCUGUGUUUGGAGUUUAUAAUCUUUGUGUUUCUCUAAUAUCAUCGUUUGCUCUUCAUUUGUA
Long non-coding RNA from Amphiprion ocellaris (clown anemonefish), 1438 nucleotides. RefSeq lists it as uncharacterized. Lineage: Eukaryota; Metazoa; Chordata; Actinopteri; Pomacentridae. The record is from RefSeq and is a predicted model, not a curated record. The transcript has 3 exons.